This 497-nucleotide ribosomal RNA is filed under the name uncultured bacterium. RNAcentral describes it as "partial 16S ribosomal RNA". It matches the Rfam family "Bacterial small subunit ribosomal RNA", at positions 28 to 507 of the family's 1533-position model. The record is from RNAcentral.
GAUGAACGCUGGCGGCGUGCCUAAUACAUGCAAGUCGAGCGAACAGACGAGGAGCUUGCUCCUCUGACGUUAGCGGCGGACGGGCGAGUAACACGUGGAUAACCUACCUAUAAGACUGGGAUAACUACGGGAAACCGGAGCUAAUACCGGAUAAUAUAGUGAACGGCAUGGUUCAAUAGUGAAAGACGGUUUUGCUGUCACUCAUAGAUGGAUCCGCGCCGCAUUAGCUAGUUGGUAAGGUAACGGCGUACCAAGGCAACGAUGCGUAGCCGACCUGAGAGCGUGAUCGGCCACACUGGAACUGAGACACGGUCCAGACUCCUCCGGGAGGCAGCAGUCGGGAAUCUUCCGCCAUGGGCGAAAGCUUGACGGAGCCACGCCGCGUGAGUGAUGAAGGUCUUCGGAUCGUAAAACUCUGUUAUUUGGGACGAACAAAUGCGUAAGUACCUAUGCACGUCUUGACGGUCCCUACUCCGACAGGUCCGGCUCACUACCUG